RNAcentral lists this ribosomal RNA (433 nucleotides) under uncultured bacterium. RNAcentral's name for it is "partial 16S ribosomal RNA". It matches the Rfam family "Bacterial small subunit ribosomal RNA", at positions 29 to 507 of the family's 1533-position model. The record is from RNAcentral.
AACGAACGCUGGCGGCAUGCCUAACACAUGCAAGUCGAACGAGACCUUCGGGUCUAGUGGCGCACGGGUGCGUAACGCGUGGGAACCUGCCCUUAGGUUCGGAAUAACUCCCCGAAAGGGGUGCUAAUACCGGAUAAUGUCUUCGGACCAAAGAUUUAUCGCCUUUGGAUGGGCCCGCGUUUGAUUAGCUAGUUGGUAGGGUAAAAGCCUACCAAGGCGACGAUCCAUAGCUGGUCUGAGAGGAUGAUCAGCCACACUGGGACUGAGACACGGCCCAGACUCCUACGGGAGGCAGCAGUAGGGAAUAUUGGACAAUGGGCGAAAGCCUGAUCCAGCAAUGCCGCGUGAGUGAUGAAGGCCUUAGGGUUGUAAAGCUCUUUUACCCGGGAUGAUAAUGACAGUACCGGGAGAAUAAGCUCCGGCUAACUCCGUG